UUUUUUAUUCAGGAGAGUUUGUGAUUCUUUUUUUUUUUCAUUAUGUACGUUUUCAAUUUCCAGGUGACUUCGUACUUAUUCGUGGUCUUUUUUUAGUAUAGUGUUUCAAUUUUGAGGUUUCUGUCUUCUUUUUAUUCAGAAGUCGUGUUUAAUUCAUUCAGUUUUUUCAUUACAUACAUUCUUUUCAAUUUCUGGGAGACUUCAUACUUAUCCGAGGUCUUCUUUUAGUAUAGUGUUUCAAUUUUGAGGUUUCUGUCUUCUUUUUAUUCAGAAGUCGUGUUUAAUUCAUUCAGUUUUUUCAUUACAUACAUUCUUUUCAAUUUCUGGGAGACUUCAUACUUAUCCGAGGUCUUCUUUUAGUAUAGUGUUUCAAUUUUGAGGUUUCUGUAUUUUUUAUUCAGGAGAGGUUAUGUUUAAUUCAUUCUAUUCUUGCAUCAUGUACAUCUUUUUCAAUUUCAAGGAGACUUUCUACUUAUCCGAGGUCUUCUUUUAUGUAACUUUUCAAUUUCGAGGUUUGUCUUUUUUACUCAGAAGUUUUGUUUAAUUCAUUCAAUCCCUUCAUUACGUACAUCUUUUUUCAAUUUCCAGGAGGCUUUGUACUUACCCAAGAUCUUUUUCUAGUAUAGUUAUUCAAUUUUGAGGUUUCUGUCUUUUUUAAUUCAGGAGAGGUUAUGUUUAAUUCAUUCAAUUCUUGCAUUAUGUACUUCUUUUUUCAAUUUCCAGGAGGCUUCGUACUUAUCCGAGGUCUUCUUUUAGUAUAGGCAUUCAAUUUCGAGGUUUGCUCUUUAAUUAAUUCAAGAGAAGUUACGUUACAUUCAUUCAAUUCUUGCAUUACGCACAUUCUUUUCAAUUUCAAGGAGACUUUCUACUUAUCCGAGGUCUUCUUUUAGUAUAGGCAUUCAAUUUCGAGGUUUGCUUCUUAAUUAAUUCAAGAGAAGUUACGUUACAUUCAUUCAAUUCUUGCAUUACGCACAUUCUUUUCAAUUUCAAGGAGACUUUCUACUUAUCCAGGUCUUCUUUUAGUAUAGGCAUUCAAUUUCGAGGUUUGCUUCUUAAUUAAUUCAAGAAAAAGUUAUGUCACAUUCAUUUGAUUCUUGCCUUUCUUACAUUCUUUUCAAUUCCCAGGAGAUUUCAUACUUAUCCGAGGUCUUCUUUUGGUAUACCGUUCCAAUUUCGAGGUUUGUCUUUUUUAUAUAGGAUUGUUUAUGUGGGUAUUGUUAUUAUCUGUGGUUAUUGAGAUUACUAAUAGGUUUGUAGAUGAAAGAAAUAGAAUCAACGAGAGUAGAAUGUGAAUGUGAGCUAAGGUUAAAGGGAUCAGAUCAAAUGAUGUAGUGUUAGAUUACGUACUCUCGUUUAUUAUGCAGAGAGAGAGAGAGAGAGAUUAUAUAGAUGCAAUUUUUAUAUAUUCCAUCAGUUUUAACGAUGCAUAAUAUAUAUAUAAGCGAAAUCAAUGACAGUGUUCGCAUUUUAUCGGACUCCGUGAAUGGGAGAAGACAUUUAAAACACACACACACACACAUACAUACAUACAUACAGCAUCGAUAACUCUCCUUUGCGUGUUGGUAUAAAAGGAAUAUAAUCGAAUGCAAGCCUUUCUUUGACAAUAUAUAGCGUCCACUGCCCUUUGUAUGUAUGUGUAUAUGUGUGUAUAGGUAGAUAGGUAGGGUGUGCGUGUGUAUAUGUGUGUUUGUGUCGUUUUUGUAUGUGUGAAAGUAUAAGGUUAAUGAAAAUGAACGUAAGGUUGACUGUGUAUAAGGCUCUUCUUUGCGUAGUUUGACCUUUGUAAAAAUAAGGAUAGAAAAGAAUGAAUGUGAGGAUGUAGAAUGUAUAUAAUGAUGAGGAUGGUGAAUGUGUAUGAGGAUAAGAGUGGUGAAUGUGUAUAAGGCUCUUCUUUGCGUAUUUCAACCUUUGUAAAAAUAAGGAUAGAAAAGAAUGAAUGUAAGGAUGAAGAAUGUGUAUAAUGAUGAGGAUGGUGAAUGUGUAUAAGGCUCCUUUUUGCGUAUUUUCAGCCUUUGUAUAAACGAGGAUAUUGACACCUUCAUAUCCUCUCCCCUCCAUACUAAUACUGUCAUUAUGCAUUGUGUCAUCAGGGUUCCCCACUCACCCUCUAACAAUGAGAAUAAAGUGUUUUUACUC
Long non-coding RNA from Eriocheir sinensis (Chinese mitten crab), 2136 nucleotides. RefSeq lists it as uncharacterized. The transcript is spliced from 2 exons. Lineage: Eukaryota; Metazoa; Arthropoda; Malacostraca; Decapoda; Varunidae. The record is from RefSeq and is a predicted model, not a curated record.